CGUAGGGGGCAAGCGUUGUCCGGAUUUAUUGGGCGUAAAGAGCUCGUAGGCGGUUCGACAAGUCGGAUGUGAAAUCUCCACGCUCAACGUGGAGGGGCCAUUCGAAACUGUCGUGACUUGAGUCCGGUAGGGGAGUGUGGAAUUCCCGGUGUAGCGGUGAAAUGCGCAGAGAUCGGGAGGAACACCCGUAGCGAAGGCGGCACUCUGGGCCGUGACUGACGCUGAGGAGCGAAAGCGUGGGGAGCAAACAGGAUUAGAUACCCUGGUAGUCCACGCCGUAAACGUUGGGCACUAGGUGUGGGACUCUAUCGACGGGUUCCGUGCCGUAGCUAACGCAUUAAGUGCCCCGCCUGGGGAGUACGGCCGCAAGGCUA
RNAcentral lists this ribosomal RNA (374 nucleotides) under uncultured organism. Its description in RNAcentral is "bacterial SSU rRNA". It matches the Rfam family "Bacterial small subunit ribosomal RNA", at positions 526 to 896 of the family's 1533-position model. The record is from RNAcentral.